Rhododendron vialii is the source of this 1792-nucleotide long non-coding RNA. RefSeq lists it as uncharacterized. The record is from RefSeq and is a predicted model, not a curated record. Lineage: Eukaryota; Viridiplantae; Streptophyta; Magnoliopsida; Ericales; Ericaceae. The transcript is spliced from 3 exons.
CCCAAUUGGCUGGAGCUAUUAGGCAGCAUUCAAUUCUGCAAAGGAGAGAAAUUAUAUUCUUAAAAAAUGAGACCACAAGGGUGAGGGCUAAAUGCAAGGUUUAUAAGGAGGAAGAGGGCAAAGUUGAUUGUACAUGGGAAAUUUCUGCGACUAAUAGGGCGACAAGUAACAAAACGCUAAAGGUUGUAGCUUACAACCCAAACCAUAAUUGUGGGAGGAUUUGGGAUAAUAAGUUGAUGAAUAGCAGUUGGUUGGCUAGGAUUUACUUUGAUGAUAUCAGGAUCAGUCCUAGCAUUAAGACAAAAGAGCUCGUGGAAAAGGUUCAGGAAAAUUUCAUGUGUAACAUAUCACGAAGUCAGUGUUAUAUGGCAAGGCAGAAGGUAUUGAGGAAAAUUGAAGGUAGAGUUGAAGACCAAUAUGCUAAAUUGUGGGAUUACUGCCAUAAGAUAAAAAGAACCAAUCCUGGUACUUCUAUCUAUGUACACGUGAAACCAAACCAAGAUGGAAUAGCUACCAACAUAUUCCAAAGGUUCUAUAUUUGUUGGGAAGCAUUGAAAAAAGGAUUUGUAGAGGGUUGUAGACCAAUUGUUGGAGUGGAUGGAACUCACUUGAAAGGGGGGCAUAAUCUUGGUCAACUACUAACAGCUGUGGGUAUAGAUGCAAAUGAUUAGAUUUUUCCUGUGGCAUAUGCAAUUGUGGAGCAAGAGAACACAAGUACUUGGACUUGGUUUUUGUAACAUUUGAUUCGUGACAUACAAAUAGUGAAUGAGCCAACUUGGACUAUUAUUUCAGAUAAGCAGAAGGGAUUGUAGAAUGCAAUUAAGGAGUUGCUACCAUCAAUUGAGCAUAGGCAUUAUGUCAGACACUUGCACAACAACUUCAAAAAUGCUGGAUUCCCAGGACAAGCCUUGCAUGAUAAGAUGUGGAAUCUAGCUACGGCAAAUUAUGUGGGUAAGUUUAACUUCUUGAUGGAAGAACUAAAGAAAGAAGACCCAGGGGCAUUUACUUGGUUGUCUCACCCAAAUAGGAACCCUUGUCAUUGGUCUAGGUCACACUUCAUUCUCACCCCCAAGUGUGACAUUUUACUUAACAAUCUUUGUGAACCAUUCUACAAGGCCAUAUUGUGUGCUAGGGACAAACCUAUACUUGCUAUUUUGGAAAAACUUAGAACAUAUUUCAUGAAUAGGUUAGAGGAGAAGAGGGAAUUUGCAACUAAAUGGGUAGAUGACUUGGGUCCUAAGAUACAUAUAAAGAUAGAGAUGAUUAAGAAGUAUGGUGACUUUAUCAUAGUACCAUGUGGGGGUCGAGAGUUUGAAGCAAAAGCCAUACAUGGUGGUUAGUACACAGUGAAUCUAUGAGCACAAACUUGCUCUUGUAGAAGAUGGGACCUUACUGGAAUUUCGUGUGAGCAUGCUGCAACAGUCAUAGCUCGAGAAGGUGGACAACUAGAGGAUUAUAUGAGUGCAUUGUACCAUAAGCAUAGUUUCCUGGCUUUUUACAACCACAUAAUGCAUCCUAUGAAUGGUUCUGAUAUGUGGGAGAAGUUAGGUAAGCCUCCAAUUGAACCUGCAGAGUUCACUAGGCAACCUGGGAGGCCCAAAAAAGCAAGAAGAAGGGAACCUGAUGAACCACCAAAGAACCAAUACAAGCUAGGUAAAAUUGGGGUAAAAAUGACUUAUAGAAGAUGUGGGACACAAGGCCACAACACCAGGACAGGUAAAGCCCCUGUGGAUUCCCUCCCAAGUGGAUCUACAAACCCCACUCCAGUCCACAACACCGACACAAGAGGAAG